AGUGAACGCUGGCGGUAGGCCUAACACAUGCAAGUCGAACGGCCGCACAGUAAGAGUUUGCUCUUACGGGUGGCGAGUGGCGGACGGGUGAGGAAUACAUCGGAUACUACUUUUUCGUGGGGGAUAACGUGGGGCAACUUACGCUAAUACCGCAUAUGUCCUACGGGUGGAAUCAGUGGAUCUUCGGACUUUGCGCGUUUGAAUGAGCCGAUGUCGGAUUAGCUAGUUGGCGGGGUAAAGGCCCACCAAGGCGACGAUCCGUAGCUGGUCUGAGAGGAUGAUCAGCCACACUGGAACUGAGACACGGUCCAGACUCCUACGGGAGGCAGCAGUGGGGAAUAUUGGACAAUGGGCGCAAGCCUGACCCAGCCAUACCGCGUGGGUGAAGAAGGUCUUCGGGUUGUAAAGCCCUUUUGUUAGGAAAGAAAAGCAGCAGAUUAAUACCCCGCUGUUCUGACGGUACCCAAAGAGUAAGCACCGGCUAACUUCGUG
RNAcentral lists this ribosomal RNA (492 nucleotides) under uncultured bacterium. RNAcentral's name for it is "partial 16S ribosomal RNA". It matches the Rfam family "Bacterial small subunit ribosomal RNA", at positions 29 to 507 of the family's 1533-position model. The record is from RNAcentral.